RNAcentral lists this ribosomal RNA (244 nucleotides) under uncultured bacterium. Its description in RNAcentral is "partial 16S ribosomal RNA". It matches the Rfam family "Bacterial small subunit ribosomal RNA", at positions 57 to 305 of the family's 1533-position model. The record is from RNAcentral.
GCAAGUCGAGCGGUAACAGAGAUAGCUUGCUAUCUGCUGACGAGCGGCGGACGGGUGAGUAAUAUGUAGGAAUCUGCCUAUUGGAGGGGGACAACGUUGGGAAACUAACGCUAAUACCGCGUAAUACCUACGGGUUAAAGGUGGCUUCGGCUGCCGCCAAUAGAUGAGCCUACAUGAGAUUAGCUAGUUGGUGGGGUAAAGGCCUACCAAGGCGACGAUCUCUAGCUGUUCUGAGAGGAAGAUC